CAUCCUCCAAGGCUAAAUACUCCUGACUGACCGAUAGUGAACCAGUACCGUGAGGGAAAGGCGAAAAGAACCCCGGCGAGGGGAGUGAAAAAGAACCUGAAACCGUGUACGUACAAGCAGUGGGAGCACAGGUUUACCUGUGUGACUGCGUACCUUUUGUAUAAUGGGUCAGCGACUUAUAUUCUGUAGCAAGGUUAACCGAAUAGGGGAGCCGGAGGGAAACCGAGUCUUAACCGGGCGUUAAGUUGCAGGGUAUAGACCCGAAACC
This 268-nucleotide ribosomal RNA is filed under the name Salmonella enterica subsp. enterica serovar Infantis. RNAcentral's name for it is "partial 23S ribosomal RNA". It matches the Rfam family "Bacterial large subunit ribosomal RNA", at positions 454 to 722 of the family's 2925-position model. RNAcentral also lists the same sequence under 2 other names. Lineage: Bacteria; Pseudomonadati; Pseudomonadota; Gammaproteobacteria; Enterobacterales; Enterobacteriaceae. The record is from RNAcentral.